RNAcentral lists this transfer RNA (67 nucleotides) under Meretrix lamarckii (Korean hard clam). Its description in RNAcentral is "tRNA-Val". Lineage: Eukaryota; Metazoa; Mollusca; Bivalvia; Venerida; Veneridae. The record is from RNAcentral.
AGGGGAAAUAGCAUAGUUAGUGUGUUCUGUUUACACCAGAAAGGUGGUUUAUAUAAUCUUUCUCUUU